UACAGGGGGUGCAAACGUUGCUCGGAAUUAUUGGGCGUAAAGAGCUCGUAGGCGGUUUGUCGCGUCUGCUGUGAAAACCCGAGGCUCAACCUCGGGCCUGCAGUGGGUACGGGCAGACUAGAGUGCGGUAGGGGAGAUUGGAAUUCCUGGUGUAGCGGUGGAAUGCGCAGAUAUCAGGAGGAACACCAAUGGCGAAGGCAGAUCUCUGGGCCGUAACUGACGCUGAGGAGCGAAAGCAUGGGGAGCGAACAGG
Molecule: ribosomal RNA, 253 nt
Filed under: uncultured bacterium
Lineage: Bacteria
Description: partial 16S ribosomal RNA
Rfam family: Bacterial small subunit ribosomal RNA
Source: RNAcentral